GGGCCUCUCGCGUCAGGAUAUGCCUAGGUGGGAUUAGCUAGUUGGUGAGGUAAGGGCUCACCAAGGCGACGAUCCCUAGCUGGUCUGAGAGGAUGAUCAGCCACACUGGAACUGAGACACGGUCCAGACUCCUACGGGAGGCAGCAGUGGGGAAUAUUGCACAAUGGGCGCAAGCCUGAUGCAGCCAUGCCGCGUGUGUGAAGAAGGCCUUCGGGUUGUAAAGCACUUUCAGUCGUGAGGAAGGUAGUGUAGUUAAUAGCUGCAUUAUUUGACGUUAGCGACAGAAGAAGCACCGGCUAACUCCGUGCCAGCAGCCGCGGUAAUACGGAGGGUGCGAGCGUUAAUCGGAAUUACUGGGCGUAAAGCGCAUGCAGGUGGUUUGUUAAGUCAGAUGUGAAAGCCCGGGGCUCAACCUCGGAAUUGCAUUUGAAACUGGCAGACUAGAGUACUGUAGAGGGGGGUAGAAUUUCAGGUGUAGCGGUGAAAUGCGUAGAGAUCUGAAGGAAUACCGGUGGCGAAGGCGGCCCCCUGGACAGAUACUGACACUCAGAUGCGAAAGCGUGGGGAGCAAACAGGAUUAGAUACCCUGGUAGUCCACGCCGUAAACGAUGUCUACUUGGAGGUUGUGGCCUUGAGCCGUGGCUUUCGGAGCUAACGCGUUAAGUAGACCGCCUGGGGAGUACGGUCGCAAGAUUAAAACUCAAAUGAAUUGACGGGGGCCCGCACAAGCGGUGGAGCAUGUGGUUUAAUUCGAUGCAACGCGAAGAACCUUACCUACUCUUGACAUCCAGAGAACUUUCCAGAGAUGGAUUGGUGCCUUCGGGAACUCUGAGACAGGUGCUGCAUGGCUGUCGUCAGCUCGUGUUGUGAAAUGUUGGGUUAAGUCCCGCAACGAGCGCAACCCUUAUCCUUGUUUGCCAGCGAGUAAUGUCGGGAACUCCAGGGAGACUGCCGGUGAUAAACCGGAGGAAGGUGGGGACGACGUCAAGUCAUCAUGGCCCUUACGAGUAGGGCUACACACGUGCUACAAUGGCGCAUACAGAGGGCAGCCAACUUGCGAAAGUGAGCGAAUCCCAAAAAGUGCGUCGUAGUCCGGAUUGGAGUCUGCAACUCGACUCCAUGAAGUCGGAAUCGCUAGUAAUCGUGGAUCAGAAUGCCACGGUGAAUACGUUCCCGGGCCUUGUACACACCGCCCGUCACACCAUGGGGAGUGGGCUGCAAAAGAAGUAGGUAGUUUAACCUUCGGGGGGGACGCUUACCACUUUUGUGGUUCAUGACUGGGGUGAACU
Molecule: ribosomal RNA, 1289 nt
Filed under: Vibrio sp.
Lineage: Bacteria; Pseudomonadati; Pseudomonadota; Gammaproteobacteria; Vibrionales; Vibrionaceae
Description: bacterial SSU rRNA
Rfam family: Bacterial small subunit ribosomal RNA
Source: RNAcentral